This 376-nucleotide RNase P RNA is filed under the name Eubacterium sp. RNAcentral's name for it is "RNase P RNA component class A". It matches the Rfam family "Bacterial RNase P class A". Rfam says of the family: Ribonuclease P (RNase P) is a ubiquitous endoribonuclease, found in archaea, bacteria and eukarya as well as chloroplasts and mitochondria. Its best characterised activity is the generation of mature 5'-ends of tRNAs by cleaving the 5'-leader elements of precursor-tRNAs. Cellular RNase Ps are ribonucleoproteins. RNAcentral also lists the same sequence under 1 other name. Lineage: Bacteria; Bacillati; Bacillota; Clostridia; Eubacteriales; Eubacteriaceae. The record is from RNAcentral.
CGAGUAGAACGGGUAAUCGCUCCUGGUAUAUCCAGGUGAGGAAAGUCCGGGCUUCACAGGGCAGGAUGCCGGAUAACGUCCGGUUGAGGUGACUCACAGGAAAGUGCAACAGAAAGUAUACCGCCUCAGUCUCGUCACUUUGUGGCAGAACCGGGGUAAGGGUGAAAUGGCGAGGUAAGAGCUCACCGCCUGGCUGGUAACAGACAGGGCAUUGUAAACCCCAUCCGAAGCAAGACCAAGCAGGAGUGCUGACGCGGCCCGCUGAGCUCCAGGUAGGUUGCUAGAGCCAUGCAGUAAUGUAUGGUCCAGAUAGAUGAUUACCUCGGAGGGCACACGCCCUCUAUGACAUAACCCGGCUUAUAGUUCUACUCGUUUU